Molecule: ribosomal RNA, 447 nt
Filed under: uncultured bacterium
Lineage: Bacteria
Description: bacterial SSU rRNA
Rfam family: Bacterial small subunit ribosomal RNA
Source: RNAcentral
UCGGGAAUUUUGGGCAAUGGGCGAAAGCCUGACCCAGCAACGCCGCGUGAAGGAUGAAGUAUUUCGGUAUGUAAACUUCGAAAGAAUGGGAAGAAUAAAUGACGGUACCAUUUAUAAGCUCCGGCUAACUACGUGCCAGCAGCCGCGGUAAUACGUAGGGAGCAAGCGUUGUUCGGAUUUACUGGGCGUAAAGGGCGCGUAGGCGGCGCGGUAAGUCACUUGUGAAAUCUCUGAGCUUAACUCAGAACGGCCAAGUGAUACUGCAGUGCUAGAGUGCAGAAGGGGCAAUCGGAAUUCUUGGUGUAGCGGUGAAAUGCGUAGAUAUCAAGAGGAACACCUGAGGUGAAGACGGGUUGCUGGGCUGACACUGACGCUGAGGCGCGAAAGUGUGGGGAUCAAACAGGAUUAGAUACCCAAGUAGUCCCUGAGCGGGCUGGCAAGGCGCAU